Molecule: long non-coding RNA, 1430 nt
Organism: Bufo gargarizans (Asiatic toad)
Lineage: Eukaryota; Metazoa; Chordata; Amphibia; Anura; Bufonidae
Exons: 3
Source: RefSeq, a predicted model, not a curated record
AAGAAAUGUCUGCCAAAAAAAACUGGACAACCCCUAAGGUUACAUAUGGGCGACCCCGGUCACCAAGAUAAGAGCUAUCAACUCUCAGGGCUUCUCCAAGUGUAGUUCCACAGACACAAAAAUGUGCUGCCGGGAAAAUAGCACUACCAGCCCAAGCCCUGGACAUCCUACACACUAAUGUCUUCCAGACUGGAGCCUGCAUGAAUCAGCCAAAAACACCAGGGCGAUAAAUAGGACUAGAAGCCAUGAUUAUGAUAUGAAAGCUUUCUAUCCAUAGCUGGAAGAUGCUCCUUACACCAGAAAUCGAAGAUGGAAGCAGGUUUACUGGAAUCGGCUGGAGAUAAAUCAAUGUUCCUGGAUGGACUCAAGUGGAUCAUAUUCGUGCUGGUUACUUUGGGGAAUUUCUGGAUUGAGACUUGGCAUUAGUGUUGACAAAGUUACUUGCCACACUGAGGACUGAGGGUGGGGUCCACCUAGCCAUGGACUGUAAAGUUCUAAUCACUGGGUGCUUUUUACACAUGGAGGUUGACACUUGAGCUGUUGAUGAAGGUUGUUAAUUCUGCCUCAAAAAAAAAUUGUGGAUUGAAGAUGAUUUAUGUUAUUUUGCUUUACAGGCAGAAGUGCAAAUCAGUGCAAGCCUACUGAGCACGAGGUUGACCGCCACACCACACAAUGGGAGCUUUCUCUAUGUUCUAGAAUGGAGAGAAUAGUGCAGAGGCUUAUAGAAGCCAGAAGGGUCAAACUGCAAACUUUUACUGCAUUGUGCUGGGAAAUAGUUAAUGAUUUAAGGGCGAAUAUCUGAAUGUGUUAAUGUUUUAAUCAUUAAAAAAUGCCUAUAUACAGGAGUAGAUGAUUAGAUAGAUAUAUUAGAUAGAUAAAUAGAUAGAUACAGAUAAUAGAUAGCUAUUAGAUAAAUAGAUGAUAGAUAGAUAGAUAGAUAGAUAGAUAGAUAGAUAGAUAGAUACAGAUAAUAUAUAGCUAUUAGAUAAAUAGAUAAUAGAGAAAGAUAUGAUUUUUAUUUUGCACAUAGGACUUUAGGUGCACAAAAUAAGGUAAUUACAGAUCUGGCACCACCUUUAGGACCGUGUUGAGCAGCAAUAUCUAUGGCUGCCUCUCCCUAUAUAUCUUUUCCUGUCUGAUAAUGCUGUAAGUUGUUCUGCAGUCUUACCUCCCACGUGAAAUCCUUGGUAACAAUUUACCAUAUCACAGUGGGCUUUGUUAUUUAAUAAACUUUUUUUUUUAGAACAGUUUAAUCUGUAAGUAUUAUACUAUAAUAUAGUGGAGAUGAAGGUUUUAGUUUAGCAUUGUGAAGCCAGCUUACCAUAGAUGAAAAUAUGUAUCAUUUCGGAGAUGUAUGAUUUUAUUCUUAAUUUCUUUAAAUUUAUUGCUCAUGAUUAGUGGGACAGGUGUGAACAAAAGAGAAUCAAUAA